Molecule: ribosomal RNA, 157 nt
Filed under: Paraisaria coenomyiae
Lineage: Eukaryota; Fungi; Ascomycota; Sordariomycetes; Hypocreales; Ophiocordycipitaceae
Description: 5.8S ribosomal RNA
Rfam family: 5.8S ribosomal RNA
About the family: 5.8S ribosomal RNA (5.8S rRNA) is a component of the large subunit of the eukaryotic ribosome. It is transcribed by RNA polymerase I as part of the 45S precursor that also contains 18S and 28S rRNA. Functionally, it is thought that 5.8S rRNA may be involved in ribosome translocation.
Source: RNAcentral
AAACUUUCAACAACGGAUCUCUUGGCUCUGGCAUCGAUGAAGAACGCAGCGAAAUGCGAUAAGUAAUGUGAAUUGCAGAAUUCAGUGAACCAUCGAAUCUUUGAACGCACAUUGCGCCCGCCAGCACUCUGGCGGGCAUGCCUGUCCGAGCGUCGUU